Molecule: ribosomal RNA, 1253 nt
Filed under: Enterococcus faecium
Lineage: Bacteria; Bacillati; Bacillota; Bacilli; Lactobacillales; Enterococcaceae
Also listed under: 1 other name
Description: bacterial SSU rRNA
Rfam family: Bacterial small subunit ribosomal RNA
Source: RNAcentral
CGACCUGAGAGGGUGAUCGGCCACAUUGGGACUGAGACACGGCCCAAACUCCUACGGGAGGCAGCAGUAGGGAAUCUUCGGCAAUGGACGAAAGUCUGACCGAGCAACGCCGCGUGAGUGAAGAAGGUUUUCGGAUCGUAAAACUCUGUUGUUAGAGAAGAACAAGGAUGAGAGUAACUGUUCAUCCCUUGACGGUAUCUAACCAGAAAGCCACGGCUAACUACGUGCCAGCAGCCGCGGUAAUACGUAGGUGGCAAGCGUUGUCCGGAUUUAUUGGGCGUAAAGCGAGCGCAGGCGGUUUCUUAAGUCUGAUGUGAAAGCCCCCGGCUCAACCGGGGAGGGUCAUUGGAAACUGGGAGACUUGAGUGCAGAAGAGGAGAGUGGAAUUCCAUGUGUAGCGGUGAAAUGCGUAGAUAUAUGGAGGAACACCAGUGGCGAAGGCGGCUCUCUGGUCUGUAACUGACGCUGAGGCUCGAAAGCGUGGGGAGCAAACAGGAUUAGAUACCCUGGUAGUCCACGCCGUAAACGAUGAGUGCUAAGUGUUGGAGGGUUUCCGCCCUUCAGUGCUGCAGCUAACGCAUUAAGCACUCCGCCUGGGGAGUACGACCGCAAGGUUGAAACUCAAAGGAAUUGACGGGGGCCCGCACAAGCGGUGGAGCAUGUGGUUUAAUUCGAAGCAACGCGAAGAACCUUACCAGGUCUUGACAUCCUUUGACCACUCUAGAGAUAGAGCUUCCCCUUCGGGGGCAAAGUGACAGGUGGUGCAUGGUUGUCGUCAGCUCGUGUCGUGAGAUGUUGGGUUAAGUCCCGCAACGAGCGCAACCCUUAUUGUUAGUUGCCAUCAUUCAGUUGGGCACUCUAGCAAGACUGCCGGUGACAAACCGGAGGAAGGUGGGGAUGACGUCAAAUCAUCAUGCCCCUUAUGACCUGGGCUACACACGUGCUACAAUGGGAAGUACAACGAGUUGCGAAGUCGCGAGGCUAAGCUAAUCUCUUAAAGCUUCUCUCAGUUCGGAUUGCAGGCUGCAACUCGCCUGCAUGAAGCCGGAAUCGCUAGUAAUCGCGGAUCAGCACGCCGCGGUGAAUACGUUCCCGGGCCUUGUACACACCGCCCGUCACACCACGAGAGUUUGUAACACCCGAAGUCGGUGAGGUAACCUUUUUGGAGCCAGCCGCCUAAGGUGGGAUAGAUGAUUGGGGUGAAGUCGUAACAAGGUAGCCGUAUCGGAAGGUGCGGCUGGAUCACCUCCUUU